This 1098-nucleotide ribosomal RNA is filed under the name Curtobacterium sp. MM90May. RNAcentral's name for it is "bacterial SSU rRNA". It matches the Rfam family "Bacterial small subunit ribosomal RNA", at positions 217 to 1319 of the family's 1533-position model. Lineage: Bacteria; Bacillati; Actinomycetota; Actinomycetes; Micrococcales; Microbacteriaceae. The record is from RNAcentral.
GGUUGGGGAUGGACUCGCGGCCUAUCAGCUUGUUGGUGAGGUAAUGGCUCACCAAGGCGACGACGGGUAGCCGGCCUGAGAGGGUGACCGGCCACACUGGGACUGAGACACGGCCCAGACUCCUACGGGAGGCAGCAGUGGGGAAUAUUGCACAAUGGGCGAAAGCCUGAUGCAGCAACGCCGCGUGAGGGAUGACGGCCUUCGGGUUGUAAACCUCUUUUAGUAGGGAAGAAGGGAGCUUCGGUUCUUGACGGUACCUGCAGAAAAAGCACCGGCUAACUACGUGCCAGCAGCCGCGGUAAUACGUAGGGUGCAAGCGUUGUCCGGAAUUAUUGGGCGUAAAGAGCUCGUAGGCGGUUUGUCGCGUCUGCUGUGAAAUCCCGAGGCUCAACCUCGGGCUUGCAGUGGGUACGGGCAGACUAGAGUGCGGUAGGGGAGAUUGGAAUUCCUGGUGUAGCGGUGGAAUGCGCAGAUAUCAGGAGGAACACCGAUGGCGAAGGCAGAUCUCUGGGCCGUAACUGACGCUGAGGAGCGAAAGCAUGGGGAGCGAACAGGAUUAGAUACCCUGGUAGUCCAUGCCGUAAACGUUGGGCGCUAGAUGUAGGGACCUUUCCACGGUUUCUGUGUCGUAGCUAACGCAUUAAGCGCCCCGCCUGGGGAGUACGGCCGCAAGGCUAAAACUCAAAGGAAUUGACGGGGGCCCGCACAAGCGGCGGAGCAUGCGGAUUAAUUCGAUGCAACGCGAAGAACCUUACCAAGGCUUGACAUACACCGGAAACGGCCAGAGAUGGUCGCCCCCUUGUGGUCGGUGUACAGGUGGUGCAUGGUUGUCGUCAGCUCGUGUCGUGAGAUGUUGGGUUAAGUCCCGCAACGAGCGCAACCCUCGUUCUAUGUUGCCAGCGGGUUAUGCCGGGGACUCAUAGGAGACUGCCGGGGUCAACUCGGAGGAAGGUGGGGAUGACGUCAAAUCAUCAUGCCCCUUAUGUCUUGGGCUUCACGCAUGCUACAAUGGCCGGUACAAAGGGCUGCGAUACCGUAAGGUGGAGCGAAUCCCAAAAAGCCGGUCUCAGUUCGGAUUGAGGUCUGCAACUCGACCUC